RNAcentral lists this non-coding RNA (811 nucleotides) under Pongo abelii (Sumatran orangutan). Lineage: Eukaryota; Metazoa; Chordata; Mammalia; Primates; Hominidae. The record is from RNAcentral.
CCAGGUUUGAAUCCGGACAGGAUUCACAUGGUCUCCUGACUCCAAAGACAGUGCUCUUGGGAUUGUCUGGGGCUCCUCAUCUGUCCACACCCAGGAACUGCUUACCAUGCCAAUCAGGAAGAGGGAAGCCAGGGAGGAGUUGGGGAGGAUGGCAAAGGCCUGGAUAUCCACGGCAGGGUAGAAGGUGAUAAACAACACAGCCUGCAUCACGAAUCCAGGAGAAAAGGAUGAUCUUCCCAGGAAAUGGUGCCAGAAUAACUCGCUAUUCAUAUGGAAGAAAAUGAAAAUGAUUCCGUAUGUCAUCCCACACAUUAAAAAUCCAUUCCAGAUGGAUUAAGGAUUUCAAUAUAAAUGGGAUGCCCAGAAGAAGCCUUACAUCUGGAUAUCAGCCACAGACACGGAGAUACUCAAAGCAGUAUUGUGCACCUGUAGAGAAAUCAGAUAGCCAUUAACAAUCGAACAUAGAAACAUUGGCUGGGCGCGGUGGCUCAUGCCUGUAAUUCCAGCACUUUGGGAAGCCGAGGCCAGGCGGAUCACUUGAAGUCAGGAGUUCAAGACCAGCCUGGCCAACGUGGUGAAACCCUGUCUCUACUAAAAAUACAAAAAUUAGCUGGGUUUGGUGGCUCACAUCUGUAAUCCCAGCUAGUCAGGAGGCUGAGGCAGGAGAAUCGCAUGAACCCAGGAGGCAGAGGUUGCAGUAAGCUGAGAUUGCGCCACUGCACUCCAGCCUGGGCGACAGAGCAAGACUGUGUCUCAAAAAAGAAAAUAGAAACGUUGUAACAUGAGGACGAUCAUAUACUAUACAGCAGUC